This 44-nucleotide small RNA is filed under the name Arabidopsis thaliana (thale cress). RNAcentral describes it as "ATSL294200". The record is from RNAcentral. Lineage: Eukaryota; Viridiplantae; Streptophyta; Magnoliopsida; Brassicales; Brassicaceae.
UAAAUGUAAAAUGCGGAUGAUCAUUUAAGCACUCUGUUCUCAUA